UAAGGGCGCACGGUGGAUGCCUUGGCACUAGAAGCCGAUGAAGGACGUUACUAACGACGAUAUGCUUUGGGGAGCUGUAAGUAAGCUUUGAUCCAGAGAUUUCCGAAUGGGGAAACCCAGCAUGAGUUAUGUCAUGUUAUCGAUAUGUGAAUACAUAGCAUAUCAGAAGGCACACCCGGAGAACUGAAACAUCUUAGUACCCGGAGGAAGAGAAAGAAAAUUCGAUUCCCUUAGUAGCGGCGAGCGAAACGGGAAGAGCCCAAACCAACAAGCUUGCUUGUUGGGGUUGUAGGACACUCUAUACGGAGUUACAAAGGACGACAUUAGACGAAUCAUCUGGAAAGAUGAAUCAAAGAAGGUAAUAAUCCUGUAGUCGAAAAUGUUGUCUCUCUUGAGUGGAUCCUGAGUACGACGGAGCACGUGAAAUUCCGUCGGAAUCUGGGAGGACCAUCUCCUAAGGCUAAAUACUCUCUAGUGACCGAUAGUG
RNAcentral lists this ribosomal RNA (487 nucleotides) under Staphylococcus aureus. RNAcentral's name for it is "partial 23S ribosomal RNA". It matches the Rfam family "Bacterial large subunit ribosomal RNA", at positions 12 to 492 of the family's 2925-position model. Lineage: Bacteria; Bacillati; Bacillota; Bacilli; Caryophanales; Staphylococcaceae. The record is from RNAcentral.